Molecule: ribosomal RNA, 672 nt
Filed under: Triticum aestivum (bread wheat)
Lineage: Eukaryota; Viridiplantae; Streptophyta; Magnoliopsida; Poales; Poaceae
Description: partial small subunit ribosomal RNA
Source: RNAcentral
AUGGAAACAUCGUCUUAUGCUAUUGUCAAGAUGAAGAACCAUGUGCCUCUGCAACUCUCAAUUAUUUAGCGAAUCAUUAAGUUGUAUGAGACACACAUGAGAAUGAGAUCCUUCUGUGCUGAGCAUAUGGGCAUAAUUUUGGAGAUGCUAUCGGCCAUUGCCCAUGCAAGUGAAGUGAGUUCUGAAUCUGCCUUGCACAUCAAAUUCCACAAAGCAUGCUCCCUUAUGGAGAUAUCUGAGCCAGCAUCCAUCCAUUUCGAGAAUGAAUCUUACCAGAGCUAGCUCAAACUUCUGCAAGCUCUUCAUGAAAACCCAUCUUUGUCAUGAGAAAUGAACAUUGAGUCAUAAAUUAUGCUUGUUUGUAAAAUACUACGGAAGUAUCUGAACUGUGCAGUCCAGGAACCAUAUAAGGAUGCUUCUUGUAAAGAUCCAGUUGUACACUGGGUGCUGCCUUUAUGCGCUACUAAGAAAAAUGAAAUGUCUGCUAGAACCCCAUUGGUAAUUCAUGUACUGUGGUUGCUUGGUCUAGAGAGGGAGUGCUUUAGGAGGAAUUUGCCCCGAAUUUUCCCCUUAUAAGCUAAUCUCGUCUGCUGUGAGCAUAGCACAAGCGAGGUUCAAGUUGCACUACAUGAUAUCUUUCAGACAUCAGUAGGCCCUAUAAUUUCAGUAUAG